This 495-nucleotide ribosomal RNA is filed under the name uncultured bacterium. Its description in RNAcentral is "bacterial SSU rRNA". It matches the Rfam family "Bacterial small subunit ribosomal RNA", at positions 28 to 526 of the family's 1533-position model. The record is from RNAcentral.
GAUGAACGCUAGCGGAAGGCUUAAUACAUGCAAGUCGAGCGGUAGGUGGCUUCGGCCAUUGAGAGCGGCGCACGGGUGAGUAACGCGUACAUGACCUGCCUGUCAGAAGGGGAUAGCCCUGGGAAACUGGGGUUAAUACCCUAUGGUAUUGAUAUUAUGAAUGAUAUCAAUUAAAGUUGAGGCGCUGACAGAUGGAUGUGCGUCUGAUUAGCUAGUUGGUAGGGUAACGGCCUACCAAGGCGACGAUCAGUAGGGGGCGUGAGAGCGUGGUCCCCCACACGGGUACUGAGACACGGACCCGACUCCUACGGGAGGCAGCAGUAAGGAAUAUUGGUCAAUGCCCGCAAGGGUGAACCAGCCAUUCCGCGUGGAGGAUGAAGGCCCUAUGGGUUGUAAACUUCUUUUAGAUGGGAAGAAAAUGCUAGAUGUAUCUGGUACUGACGGUACCAUCAGAAUAAGCACCGGCUAACUCCGUGCCAGCAGCCGCGGUAAACU